AGAGUUUGAUCCUGGCUCAGAUUGAACGCUGGCGGCAUGCUUUACACAUGCAAGUCGAACGGCAGCACGGACUUCGGUCUGGUGGCGAGUGGCGAACGGGUGAGUAAUACAUCGGAACGUACCCAGUAAUGGGGGAUAACUAGUCGAAAGAUUAGCUAAUACCGCAUACGCCCUACGGGGGAAAGAGGGGGAUCGCAAGACCUCUUGUUAUUGGAGCGGCCGAUGGCUGAUUAGCUAGUUGGUGGGGUAAAGGCCUACCAAGGCGACGAUCAGUAGCGGGUCUUA
RNAcentral lists this ribosomal RNA (285 nucleotides) under uncultured bacterium. RNAcentral describes it as "partial 16S ribosomal RNA". It matches the Rfam family "Bacterial small subunit ribosomal RNA", at positions 8 to 295 of the family's 1533-position model. The record is from RNAcentral.